CAGUCGCCGCGGGAAUACGAAGGGGGCUAGCGUUGCUCGGAAUUACUGGGCGUAAAGGGAGCGUAGGCGGACAUUUAAGUCAGGGGUGAAAUCCCAGAGCUCAACUCUGGAACUGCCUUUGAUACUGGGUGUCUUGAGUGUGAUAGAGGUAUGAGGAACUCCGAGUGUAGAGGUGAAAUUCGUAGAUAUUCGGAAGAACACCAGUGGCGAAGGCGACAUACUGGAUCAUUACUGACGCUGAGGCUCGAAAGCGUGGGGAGCAAACAGGAUUAGAUACCCGCGUAGUCCCUGUCUCUUAUAC
This 301-nucleotide ribosomal RNA is filed under the name uncultured bacterium. RNAcentral describes it as "partial 16S ribosomal RNA". It matches the Rfam family "Bacterial small subunit ribosomal RNA", at positions 509 to 807 of the family's 1533-position model. The record is from RNAcentral.